CAAAAAAUAGUUUAUAAAAAUAAUAAUUUUGGGAAUUAUAAAUAAAAAAAUUCCUUUUUUUUGG
RNAcentral lists this transfer RNA (64 nucleotides) under Sphinx morio (larch hawk moth). Its description in RNAcentral is "tRNA-Pro". The record is from RNAcentral. Lineage: Eukaryota; Metazoa; Arthropoda; Insecta; Lepidoptera; Sphingidae.